AUAUAUAUGGAGGAAACAGAGUAGUAAGAUAACUUUUCCUUGUCUUAGCUUAAAACUAAAUGGCUACACAUUGGGAACUUCAUUUCUCUAUCUUAUCAAUAAAUCAUUGUAAUCUUGUGCCACUUUCUAGAACUCUAGAUCCCUUUUUUAUCUGUGGUUCUUUAGGAGGUAAAUGCUAAUGACUUGACGUAAAAAAUAAAGAGGCCCCACAAGGCUUUAUCUAUUGAUUGGUGUACUUCUUUGGGCUUGAGUAGAAUUGGAUUGGUACAGACACUUUGUUGAAUUGAAGCGGAGAGGAUUUGGUACCGUAGAAAGAAUGUCAAAAAGCCUUUGGAAUUGUGCUCCUUUCCCCCCUGUUUUGUGGAGUAUUUGUUAGGAGAGAAUGCCAUAUUUGUCAUUGGCCAGACUUUCGCUUGCAGUUUGUUAUGGGACUAGGUGGUUUUCCAGGGUUCUUUGUAGGCUUCUGCUUCAGGGGCUUUUAGAGUAUCUUUCUGUACAAUUGG
Molecule: unclassified non-coding RNA, 503 nt
Filed under: Hevea brasiliensis (rubber tree)
Lineage: Eukaryota; Viridiplantae; Streptophyta; Magnoliopsida; Malpighiales; Euphorbiaceae
Source: RNAcentral